UACGUAGGGGGCAAGCGUUGUCCGGAUUUAUUGGGCGUAAAGAGCGUGUAGGCGGCCAAGUAGGUCCGUUGUGAAAACUCGAGGCUCAACCUCGAGACGCCGAUGGAAACCAUUUGGCUAGAGUCCGGAAGAGGAGAGUGGAAUUCCUGGUGUAGCGGUGGAAAUGCGCAGAUAUCAGGAAGAACACCCGUGGCUAAGGCGGCUCUCUAGUACGGUACUGACGCUGAGACGCGAAAGCGUGGGGAGCGAAACAGGG
RNAcentral lists this ribosomal RNA (256 nucleotides) under uncultured bacterium. Its description in RNAcentral is "partial 16S ribosomal RNA". It matches the Rfam family "Bacterial small subunit ribosomal RNA", at positions 524 to 777 of the family's 1533-position model. The record is from RNAcentral.